UACGUAGGGUGCAAGCGUUGUCCGGAAUUAUUGGGCGUGAAGAGCUCGUAGGCGGUGUGUCACGUCGGCCGUGAAAACCUGCAGCUUAACUGUGGGCGUGCGGUCGAUACGGGCAUCACUGGAGUUCGGCAGGGGAGACUGGAAUUCCUGGUGUAGCGGUGAAAUGCGCAGAUAUCAGGAGGAACACCGGUGGCGAAGGCGGGUCUCUGGGCCGAUACUGACGCUGAGGAGCGAAAGCGUGGGGAGCAAACAGG
RNAcentral lists this ribosomal RNA (254 nucleotides) under uncultured bacterium. RNAcentral's name for it is "partial 16S ribosomal RNA". It matches the Rfam family "Bacterial small subunit ribosomal RNA", at positions 524 to 776 of the family's 1533-position model. The record is from RNAcentral.